Molecule: ribosomal RNA, 497 nt
Filed under: uncultured bacterium
Lineage: Bacteria
Description: bacterial SSU rRNA
Rfam family: Bacterial small subunit ribosomal RNA
Source: RNAcentral
AAUUUGAUCUUGGUUCAGGACGAACGCUGGCGGCGUGCUUCAUACAUGCAAGUCGAACGAUAAGGCGUCUUCGGACGUACAUAAGUGGCGGACGGGUGAAGUAAAAUGUAGAGAAUCUGCCCUAGAGAGAGGGACAACAGAGGGAAACUUCUGCUAAUACCUCAUAUGCGCGUAGUUGGAAUACUAUUCGUGAAAACUCCGGUGCUCUAGGAUGAGUCUGCAUCUGAUUAGCUAGGUUGGGGGUGUAAUGGACCACCAAGGCGACGAUCAGUAGCUGGUUUGAGAGGAUGAUCAGCCACAAUGGACUGAGACACGGCCCAUACUCCUACGGGAGGCAGCAGUAAGGGUAAUUUUGCGCAAGUGGGACGAAAGCCUGAACCGCAGCAACGCCGCGUGAUUGAAGAACGCCCGUUCGGGGUAGUAAAGAUCUGUCAGUGGGGACGAAUUUUGACGGUACCCACAGAGGAAGCAUCGGCUAACUCCGUGCCAGCCGCGGC